Molecule: long non-coding RNA, 4367 nt
Filed under: Phoenix dactylifera (date palm)
Lineage: Eukaryota; Viridiplantae; Streptophyta; Magnoliopsida; Arecales; Arecaceae
Description: long non-coding RNA (PDAC_LNC005030)
Source: RNAcentral
GGCACUGCAGCUUCUGCUUCCGCUAUAUCAGUGAAUUUGUGUUUAAGAUGAGGGCCUACAGCCAUGUGGAUCGUGUGAGAUUUGCUUAUUAUUUGAACCCAUCAAGGAUUCAGGAUGUGAUAUGCCGGGGAGCAGACCUUUUUGAUAUGCUUCCGGAGGAGUAUACUUUCAGGGAAAUUAUAGCGAAGUUGGGGGCGAUACCCCAUUCAUAUUCAGCAGUUCAUCUUCCUGGGUAUCUCCUUCAGAAUAUUGACAAGUACAAAUAUCUUCUUCCUGGGAACUGCAAAAGAGAACCAGGGUGAUAAGCAUCAAAAACCGUUCUUGAAUAUUACAAGAAAGAUUUCUUCAAAGUUGAUGAUGGUGAUAUUGCGCGUGUUCUCAACAUGAGCAUCUGACUUGGAAGAAUCUUAUUGAGGGAGGUUGGCAGGAAGAGACGAGUUCUUUCAUAUACAUGUGAAAGUAUAUUUGAAAAUUCUUAGUUUCUAGUCAUGUUUCUAGAGGCAAAUUCAUUUGCCAAAGGAGUCUGUUCUGGGACUAUAGCCACCAUGGGAAGUUUUACGUCUCUUCUUCCCUUAUUGGUAUGUAAUCACACCCUGAUAGUUGGAGGAUGCAUAUAAAGUGAUGUUUGAAAUGCUUUCCGUGCUGGAAAUUUUUUGUACUAAUUUAAUUAUGUACUAUUUCUUCAAUUUACUGACAUGCUUCCAUUGACUACUCUCAAUUGGUUAUCGAACUGCUUUUUUUGAUAGUUCUGGUGUAUUGAUUAAAGAAAUAUCUUUUGACAACCUUUAAUUUAUUGUCAUCGUUUAUAGUUACUUUUGUUGGACAUAUAGGGGAGCCCUUGUUACUGAAGUACCACAACAUUUUCAAGCAAUUGUUCUGAGCUUUUUACUGGUUAAAACAGUAUGAGAUAUUAGUUUGUUUGUGAAUAAUAUUCUCAUAUGCAAGUAUAUUGAUGAUGUCAUGCAUGCAAGUUCAAACUACACCCUAGGAUAUGCCACAAGAAAGAUGAACUCCUUUUGAAAACUAAUCCUUUUUCCUGUUAAUUUUAUUUUGAUGUAAUAGGAGUAUGAGUCAUGCUUCUGCAUGCAUAGUAGCUUAAUUAAAUAUAACUAGAAGACACGGCACUUAUUCCAAUAGAAGGUUAAGGUACUUCCACAAAUAGAAGUGAGGUCUAAUACUAUUGCUGAACUGAAUGCAUCUUAUUGCUUGGAGUCGAACUGGGAAUGGUAUUACAUGCCUAUAUAUCUUUUUGAUAUAUUUUUAAGUUUCUUAAAAUUAUGAAAUAUGGAUGUGGUAUUCAUAUCCUUAAGAUACGAAUAUGUAGGUCUUGUAUUCUUAAGAUAUGUUUGACUGCAACAAUAUAGUGCCAUGUGUCUAAUUUUCUUAUUUAGUUUGGUCAAGAAAUUUACAUCUUGACUAGUACGUAGUUUCUUUUGGGGGAUAAGGAAGAAAGUAUCUUUUGAAGGGGGUUCCCCAUCCUUGAAGUGAUGGUUGGGGGUGCUUGGAUGGCCGAACAACUUAUCCUCAGGAUAAGGCUUAUAUAGAGUUACAUAUGAGGAGAUAAAUGCCCAAAAGGAAAAAACAUUGAGAUAGGAGGCCCUUCCUUGCACACAAUCCCCAAAAAAGGGGAUUAUCCAUUCAGUCUGAAAGUUGCUUUAUCUCGUUCUCCUCUUUCCUCAAUUUUAUGACCCUAAAACUUCUCUAAUUAGAGAAGUUUCUUUCUAGCCAAUGCUAACAUUUUGCAAGCAUCAGCCAUAUAAGGAAUAUCCAUCGGACAACUUGUGCAGGCAUCCACUCAGGCCUCUUAGGAAGUUGCAGUCCCCCUCAAAGCAUGCAUUUUCUCCUCUCCUUUUUUGAUCUAUUAUCAGGGCAUCAGUAAUAGGGCAUCAUCCUUUUUAUAUUGAUGGUUGGAUGAAUCUGGGCGAAGUUGCAGCCCCCCUCAAAGCAAACAUUCUCUCCUCUCCUUUUUUAUCUAUUAUCAGGGCAUCAGUAUCAGGGCAUCAUCCUUUUUAUAUUGAUGGUUGGAUGAAUCUGGGCAAUUGUGGAGAGGGAGCUCAAAAUUUUGAGAGGGAGGAGGACUUUCUUGCCAUGUUCUAAUCGUAUCAUAGCUUUCGGAGCAGAUGGACAAGAUGAACAGGACAUGGGUGAAACUUGUUUAUCACAUGGCUAGCCUAUAUCAAUCUAAAAAAAUUCUGCUAGAAAUUAUAUUUGGAUGCAUCAUCACUAGAUCCAUCUAGUUCUUAAGACCAAAAUGCAAUGAGUUGAAGUUAUGGUGGAACUAGGAUCGAAGCUUACACGGUUAAUAUGAUGUUUCAUAAAUUUGAGGUGAGGAUAUGGUGGAAUGGGUGCUUUAAGCAGAACAAAUCAAUAGAAACAAGAAAUUGCAGAGGAACUGAUGGUUUUGCUGGUCUGGUGCAUCCUCUUGGGGAUGAUAUCCAUGGUUCCCAUGGAUGGAGAGGAUUGUGGAAGGAGUAUCAUGGUCACACUUUGUGACCAAUGAAUGCAAAUAAUGAUAGAUACUGUAGCACAAGUUGCUGAGGCUUCUUGCACAUGCUGUAGCACCAGACUGGUUUGUAACCCAGGAAAUGAUUGACAAAUAAAAUGCACUCUAAUGAACUCCAUAUGUGAACUUGGAUAGGACUAUACUAGUAAAGUGAAUGUAACUCAGCUUUAGUGCUCAUAUGUUGCACCAAUGUAAAUGUUAAACUUCUUUUUUUCUAUGGAAAUAUUUUACCUUAUUCAACCAUUUGUUGACGAUUACCAACAUCACAGACUUUCUUUCUCCAGAGCUAUUCCAAUGGUUUAAAAAAAAAAUGUUUGCAUAUAAAGAGGUCCGUGAUCAUGAAAUACUAUGAUUAUUGGCCUUGGACAAUAUGCUUAUCAACUGGUCUAGGAUAUGAUCCUUCUCCACUGGCUGGAAUGAUUUGACUUGGUACCAAAUUCACAAACUGGAGGAAAAAGAAAUCGCUGAUGCAGUAGAUUGAUUUACUUAUUAUUAAAUCUACAACCAUUUGCUUGCUUAUCUUCAUCUAUAUAUUGGAGAACCUCCUUAACUCAAGGGCCCAAAUUUCUGGUACUGAUGCCUUGAAAUGAAUGACUUUUACUAUCUUAUAAUCCCAGCUUGUAACCCCAGACUAAGAUCUUUGGGUUCUGAGGAAACACUAGAGGCCAAUUCACCGGGGGAAGCCCCAUUCUAAACCUUUCUUGUCAUUCAUAAAAGAGGUUACCCUUGUAUAGUGACCAUCCAAACUUUUCCAGAAAGGUGCAAAAUUUUUCAGUUAAACUGCAGCAGAUGGAACAGAGAUUGGAACAUACUCUGUAGAAUACAGAGACCCUCUCUUUCUACGAGGUGCACCAGCUACCAAGCUGUUCCUCUAUCAGAUUCAGUCCUGGCAUGGCUCAUGAAACUAAUGGAGCUGGCUUCCAAUCUCUAUCUUGAAUUAUAGUCAAUAUAUGUUGGCAGUCUGAGUUAGUACUGGGAAAGUUUUCUGCGAUUAUUCGAGUCUCUGAUCUACUUUCUCUAGUGGUCACUAGAUCACAUACGUGGCAUCGACCAUGGCGUCGGUCGGUGCUUUCCUUCAAAGCUUGGCGGUCCGGCGAAUAUGAAAAAGAUACUUCUAAUUGAGGAUGAAGAUGAAAAUGGUCGCUCCAUAUGCAAGAAUUCUCUGAGCUGCUUGACACAGACAAAAGUUAGAGAAUAAGAUGCACUUCUUAUCUUCAAGGAAUAAAUUCCAUAUGCUUGGUCUAUAAAAAGAGGGAGAUGGGAGCUCAGAAACCAAACUGGCCUCAACUCUUCUAAAACUAGCUUCAAGUAGGAGGUUGCAAAGUCUGUACAAUGUCUCUCAGGAGCCGCCGCCACCCACAUCAAUACCAGGAGAGCAGGUCUUCCUCAGAGGAUGAUUACUGCGCCUACGUGACGAAAAUAGAGAGGAAGACGAGCAUGGUUGAAGGGCCCUACUUCCCCCAUCUUCAGACUGUGUUCAAGCAGAAGGAAGUCCAUGAGGAGGAGGAGAAGUCCCAGCCUGGGCUGUUCGGCCGGCCGAGGCAGAAGGAGUGGUUUGAAGAGAAGGAGACAUAUGAAGUCUCUAAGACCUAGGACAUGGCCUUGCAAGGAGGAGAGUGCAUCAGGUGCAAUCAGUUGGUGGCUGUCAAGGAAGCUUAAGCAUUAUCUAUAGUUAUGUGGUGAUAGACAUGCUAUGGCUUUGCACCUUUAUAAAAUAAAUCUCUGGCUCUUCUGUUCUGCAUCCUAUCCAUUUGAAUAAUACUGUAGUUCUCUAGUAUCAAUGAAGGUAUACUUCCAUAUUUUAGCCUAAAACUUUCACUCUUAUAUGUUUCUCAGGUAGAUGUUUGAGAAGUCUAUGACAACC